CGUGUAGGCUGCUCGGAAAGUCGGAUGUGAAAGCCCUGGGCUCAACCUAGGAAGAGCAUUCGAAACUUCUGAGCUUGAGUUUCGGAGAGGAAGGCGGAAUUCUCGGUGUAGAGGUGAAAUUCGUAGAUAUCGAGAGGAACAUCGGUGGCGAAGGCGGCCUUCUGGACGAAAACUGACGCUGAGACGCGAAAGCGUGGGGAGCAAACA
Molecule: ribosomal RNA, 207 nt
Filed under: uncultured delta proteobacterium
Lineage: Bacteria; Deltaproteobacteria
Description: partial 16S ribosomal RNA
Rfam family: Bacterial small subunit ribosomal RNA
Source: RNAcentral